RNAcentral lists this ribosomal RNA (460 nucleotides) under uncultured bacterium. RNAcentral describes it as "partial 16S ribosomal RNA". It matches the Rfam family "Bacterial small subunit ribosomal RNA", at positions 338 to 795 of the family's 1533-position model. The record is from RNAcentral.
CCUACGGGAGGCAGCAGUGAGGAAUAUUGGUCAAUGGCCGGAAGGCUGAACCAGCCAAGCCGCGUGAAGGACGAAGGUGCCAAGCAUUGUAAACUUCUUUUGUCAAGGGACAAAAUCAGGCUCGAGAGCCUGACCGAGGGUACUUGAAGAAAAAGCAUCGGCUAACUCCGUGCCAGCAGCCGCGGUAAUACGGAGGAUGCGAGCGUUAUCCGGAUUUAUUGGGUGUAAAGGGAGCGUAGACGGUUAAUCAAGUCAGAAGUGAAAACCCAGGGCUCAACCUUGGGACUGCUUUUGAAACUGAGUAGCUAGAGUGCAGGAGAGGUAAGCGGAAUUCCUAGUGUAGCGGUGAAAUGCGUAGAUAUUAGGAGGAACACCAGUGGCGAAGGCGGCUUACUGGACUGUAACUGACGUUGAGGCUCGAAAGCGUGGGGAGCAAACAGGAUUAGAUACCCUUGUAGUC